AGCAGAGCAGUCACAUCAGGAGCGCCCGGAAGCUGGUCCCGAAGUGCCACCUACUUCGACUGUGCCGCCAAGGGAGGAGUCCCCGGCAAGGGAGCGCUCUCCGGCAAGGGGGAACUCUCCGGCAAGGGACGGCACCGUUGAUCCUGCGGCGACCGAGGCCGCAACUGCAGAUCUUGGCACAGGUAAUCCACUUGCCCAGAAACUUUCCCUUGGGUUCUUCUUCUUCUGAUUUUCUUCCCUUGGAUUUUGGAUUGAUUUUUCUCCCUUCUUCGUUCUUCAGACCCAUCUGCGGCUGAGCCAAUGGAGACAGAGGGCGCCGGCG
This 322-nucleotide long non-coding RNA is filed under the name Triticum aestivum (bread wheat). Its description in RNAcentral is "long non-coding RNA (TAES_LNC025875)". Lineage: Eukaryota; Viridiplantae; Streptophyta; Magnoliopsida; Poales; Poaceae. The record is from RNAcentral.